This 1458-nucleotide ribosomal RNA is filed under the name uncultured organism. RNAcentral describes it as "SSU rRNA". It matches the Rfam family "Bacterial small subunit ribosomal RNA". The record is from RNAcentral.
UCAUGACGAACGCUGGCGGCGUGCCUAAUACAUGCAAGUAGAACGCUGAAGAGAGGAGCUUGCUCUUCUUGGAUGAGUUGCGAACGGGUGAGUAACGCGUAGGUAACCUGCCUUGUAGCGGGGGAUAACUAUUGGAAACGAUAGCUAAUACCGCAUAACAAUAGGUGACACAUGUCAUUUAUUUGAAAGGGGCAAUUGCUCCACUACAAGAUGGACCUGCGUUGUAUUAGCUAGUAGGUGAGGUAACGGCUCACCUAGGCGACGAUACAUAGCCGACCUGAGAGGGUGAUCGGCCACACUGGGACUGAGACACGGCCCAGACUCCUACGGGAGGCAGCAGUAGGGAAUCUUCGGCAAUGGGGGCAACCCUGACCGAGCAACGCCGCGUGAGUGAAGAAGGUUUUCGGAUCGUAAAGCUCUGUUGUAAGUCAAGAACGAGUGUGAGAGUGGAAAGUUCACACUGUGACGGUAGCUUACCAGAAAGGGACGGCUAACUACGUGCCAGCAGCCGCGGUAAUACGUAGGUCCCGAGCGUUGUCCGGAUUUAUUGGGCGUAAAGCGAGCGCAGGCGGUUUGAUAAGUCUGAAGUUAAAGGCUGUGGCUCAACCAUAGUUCGCUUUGGAAACUGUCAAACUUGAGUGCAGAAGGGGAGAGUGGAAUUCCAUGUGUAGCGGUGAAAUGCGUAGAUAUAUGGAGGAACACCGGUGGCGAAAGCGGCUCUCUGGUCUGUAACUGACGCUGAGGCUCGAAAGCGUGGGGAGCGAACAGGAUUAGAUACCCUGGUAGUCCACGCCGUAAACGAUGAGUGCUAGGUGUUGGAUCCUUUCCGGGAUUCAGUGCCGCAGCUAACGCAUUAAGCACUCCGCCUGGGGAGUACGACCGCAAGGUUGAAACUCAAAGGAAUUGACGGGGGCCCGCACAAGCGGUGGAGCAUGUGGUUUAAUUCGAAGCAACGCGAAGAACCUUACCAGGUCUUGACAUCCCGAUGCUAUUUCUAGAGAUAGAAAGUUACUUCGGUACAUCGGUGACAGGUGGUGCAUGGUUGUCGUCAGCUCGUGUCGUGAGAUGUUGGGUUAAGUCCCGCAACGAGCGCAACCCCUAUUGUUAGUUGCCAUCAUUCAGUUGGGCACUCUAGCGAGACUGCCGGUAAUAAACCGGAGGAAGGUGGGGAUGACGUCAAAUCAUCAUGCCCCUUAUGACCUGGGCUACACACGUGCUACAAUGGUUGGUACAACGAGUUGCGAGUCGGUGACGGCAAGCUAAUCUCUUAAAGCCAAUCUCAGUUCGGAUUGUAGGCUGCAACUCGCCUACAUGAAGUCGGAAUCGCUAGUAAUCGCGGAUCAGCACGCCGCGGUGAAUACGUUCCCGGGCCUUGUACACACCGCCCGUCACACCACGAGAGUUUGUAACACCCGAAGUCGGUGAGGUAACCUUUUGGAGCCAGCCGCCUAAGGUGGG